RNAcentral lists this long non-coding RNA (226 nucleotides) under Medicago truncatula (barrel medic). RNAcentral describes it as "long non-coding RNA (MTRU_LNC008309)". Lineage: Eukaryota; Viridiplantae; Streptophyta; Magnoliopsida; Fabales; Fabaceae. The record is from RNAcentral.
UUUGCAUGUUUUGGAAAAAGUUGGAUUUUCUCUAAGUGUUUAAACCUAAGCGUUUAUCUAACCAUGCAAUCCUAGCCAUACAUCUACACAUACAAUCCUAGGCAUACAUCUAGGGUGAGUGUGUGCGUGCCGGUGCGUCAUAGUGUCCGUAGUCCAUAUUACAAAAAUUGCCUAAAUACAUUCUAUGGCCCCUUUGCCAAGCUACAAACCAAUGAUAACAAAUUAC